RNAcentral lists this ribosomal RNA (194 nucleotides) under uncultured beta proteobacterium. RNAcentral describes it as "partial 16S ribosomal RNA". It matches the Rfam family "Bacterial small subunit ribosomal RNA", at positions 338 to 524 of the family's 1533-position model. Lineage: Bacteria; Pseudomonadati; Pseudomonadota; Betaproteobacteria. The record is from RNAcentral.
CCUACGGGAGGCAGCAGUGGGGAAUUUUGGACAAUGGGAGCAAGCGCGAUCCAGCCACACCCAGUGCAGGAUGAAGGCGAAGGGGUUGUAAACUGCUUUUGUACGGAACGAAAAGACUCUGGUUAAUACCUGGGGUCCAUGACGGUACCGUAAGAAUAAGCACCGGCUAACUACGUGCCAGCAGCCGCGGUAAU